RNAcentral lists this ribosomal RNA (903 nucleotides) under uncultured archaeon. Its description in RNAcentral is "bacterial SSU rRNA". It matches the Rfam family "Archaeal small subunit ribosomal RNA", at positions 1 to 911 of the family's 1478-position model. The record is from RNAcentral.
UGUCUCCUCCGGAGGCCAUUGCUAUUGGAGUCCGAUUUAGCCAUGCUAGUUGCACGAGUUUAGACUCGUAGCAUAUAGCUCAGUAACACGUGGCCAAACUACCCUACAGACCGCAAUAACCUCGGGAAACUGAGGCCAAUGGCGGAUACGGCUUCCAUGCUGGAACUGCAGGAAGCUGGAAAUGCUCCGGCGCUGUAGGAUGUGGCUGCGGCCGAUUAGGUAGACGGUGGGGUAACGGCCCACCGUGCCAAUAAUCGGUACGGGUCGUGAGAGCGAGAGCCCGGAGACGGUAUCUGAGACAAGAUGCCGGGCCCUACGGGGCGCAGCAGGCGCGAAACCUUUACACUGCACGACAGUGCGAUAGGGGGACUCCAAGUGCGAGGGCAUAUAGUCCUCGCUUUUGUGCACCGUAAGGUGGUGCACGAAUAAGAACUGGGCAAGACCGGUGCCAGCCGCCGCGGUAAUACCGGCAGUUCGAGUGAUGGCCGAUUUUAUUGGGCCUAAAGCGUUCGUAGCCUGCCGGACAAGUUCGUUGGGAAAUCCGCGCGCUCAACGCGUGGGCGUCCAGCGAAAACUGUCUGGCUUGGGGCCGGAAGACUCGAGGGGUACGUCCGGGGUAGGAGUGAAAUCCCGUAAUCCUGGACGGACCGCCGAUGGCGAAAGCACCUCGAGAGGACGGACCCGACGGUGAGGGACGAAAGCCAGGGUCUCGAACCGGAUUAGAUACCCGGGUAGUCCUGGCCGUAAACGAUGUCCGCUAGGUGGUGGCGCAGGCUACGAGCCUGCGCUGUGCCGUAGGGAAGCCGUGAAGCGGACCGCCUGGGAAGUACGUCUGCAAGGAUGAAACUUAAAGGAAUUGGCGGGGGAGCACUACAACCGGAGGAGCCUGCGGUUUAAUGAAAU